This 497-nucleotide ribosomal RNA is filed under the name uncultured bacterium. Its description in RNAcentral is "partial 16S ribosomal RNA". It matches the Rfam family "Bacterial small subunit ribosomal RNA", at positions 28 to 507 of the family's 1533-position model. The record is from RNAcentral.
GAUGAACGCUGGCGGCGUGCCUAAUACAUGCAAGUCGAGCAAACAGACGAGGAGCUUGCUCCUCUGACGUUAGCGGCGGACGGGUGAGUAACACGUGGAUAACCUACCUAUAAGACUGGGAUAACUUCGGGAAACCGGAGCUAAUACCGGAUAAUAUAUUGAACCGCAUGGUUCAAUAGUGAAAGGCGGUUUUGCUGUCACUUAUAGAUGGAUCCGCGCCGCAUUAGCUAGUUGGUAAGGUAACGGCUUACCAAGGCGACGAUGCGUAGCCGACCUGAGAGGGUGAUCGGCCACACUGGAACUGAGACACGGUCCAGACUCCUACGGGAGGCAGCAGUAGGGAAUCUUCCGCAAUGGGCGAAAGCCUGACGGAGCAACGCCGCGUGAGUGAUGAAGGUCUUCGGAUCGUAAAACUCUGUUAUUAGGGAAGAACAAAUGUGUAAGUAACUAUGCACGUCUUGACGGUACCUAAUCAGAAAGCCACGGCUAACUACGUG